This 273-nucleotide ribosomal RNA is filed under the name uncultured bacterium. Its description in RNAcentral is "partial 16S ribosomal RNA". It matches the Rfam family "Bacterial small subunit ribosomal RNA", at positions 337 to 627 of the family's 1533-position model. The record is from RNAcentral.
CCCUACGGGGCGCAGCAGUGGGGAAUAUUGCACAAUGGGGGAAACCCUGAUGCAGCGACGCCGCGUGAGUGAAGAAGUAUUUCGGUAUGUAAAGCUCUAUCAGCAGGGAAGAUAAUGACGGUACCUGACUAAGAAGCCCCGGCUAACUACGUGCCAGCAGCCGCGGUAAUACGUAGGGGGCAAGCGUUAUCCGGAUUUACUGGGUGUAAAGGGAGCGUAGGUGGCAGGGGAAGUCAGAUGUGAAAACCCGGGGCUCAACCCAGGGAGUGCAUU